RNAcentral lists this small RNA (414 nucleotides) under Pan troglodytes (chimpanzee). RNAcentral's name for it is "processed transcript". Lineage: Eukaryota; Metazoa; Chordata; Mammalia; Primates; Hominidae. The record is from RNAcentral.
AUGGCCAGAGGGGGCCACGGGGCCCGAGGGGGUGCUCCCCCGCCCCCUGCUCAGCUGCACACAGGCCCUGGACGAUGAUCUGCAACGGGAGGCCCACACGGUGACAGCGCACCUGACCUCUAAGGUGGGUGGGGCCUGGAGACCAAGGCGUGGAGGCAGUCCCUGGUGCCCCCUGCCCAUGCUGAGCACUGCUCCUGCCCUCAGAUGGUGGGCGACAUCCGCAAGUAUGUACAGCACAUCAGUCUCUCGCCUGACUCCAUCCAGAACGAUGAGGCCGUGGCCCCGCUCAUGAAGUACCUGGAUGAGAAGCUGGCCCUGCUGAACGCCUCGCUGGUGAAGGGGAACCUGAGCAGGCCCUGGUCAGUUUUUUCCACGCAGAGGGUCAGGGUUUGCCCCUGGAGAGCCUGAGGGAUG